UACAGAGGGUGCGAGCGUUAAUCGGAAUUACUGGGCGUAAAGCGUGCGUAGACGGCUAUCUAAGUCGGGUGUGAAAGCCCCGGGCUCAACCUGGGAAUUGCAUUCGAGACUGAAUAGCUAGGGUGCGGUAGAGGGAAGCGGAAUUUCCGGUGUAGCGGUGAAAUGCGUAGAUAUCUGGAGGAACACCGGUGGCGAAGGCGGCAUCCUGGACCGGUAUUGACGCUGAGGAGCGAAAGCCAGGGGAGCAAACGGG
RNAcentral lists this ribosomal RNA (253 nucleotides) under uncultured bacterium. RNAcentral's name for it is "partial 16S ribosomal RNA". It matches the Rfam family "Bacterial small subunit ribosomal RNA", at positions 524 to 776 of the family's 1533-position model. The record is from RNAcentral.